Molecule: non-coding RNA, 74 nt
Organism: Myotis lucifugus (little brown bat)
Lineage: Eukaryota; Metazoa; Chordata; Mammalia; Chiroptera; Vespertilionidae
Source: Rfam
GGUGGUUCUCAGGUGAUGUACCCCGAAAUCAGGCUCCCUCUCUCUGGUUCCAGGUGCAUCACCCAAGAACCACA